This 72-nucleotide transfer RNA is filed under the name Mycobacterium phage Tonenili. It matches the Rfam family "tRNA". Rfam says of the family: Transfer RNA (tRNA) molecules are approximately 80 nucleotides in length. Their secondary structure includes four short double-helical elements and three loops (D, anti-codon, and T loops). Further hydrogen bonds mediate the characteristic L-shaped molecular structure. tRNAs have two regions of fundamental functional importance: the anti-codon, which is responsible for specific mRNA codon recognition, and the 3' end, to which the tRNAs corresponding amino acid is attached (by aminoacyl-tRNA synthetases). tRNAs cope with the degeneracy of the genetic code in two manners: having more than one tRNA (with a specific anti-codon) for a particular amino acid; and 'wobble' base-pairing, i.e. permitting non-standard base-pairing at the 3rd anti-codon position. The record is from Rfam by way of RNAcentral. Lineage: Duplodnaviria; Heunggongvirae; Uroviricota; Caudoviricetes.
GUGGCCGUAGUUCAGCGGUAGAACACCGGGUUGUGAUCCCGGACGCCGUCGGUUCGAAUCCGACCGGUCACC